This is a small nuclear RNA of Gadus morhua (Atlantic cod), 174 nucleotides long. Its record names the gene U1. It matches the Rfam family "U1 spliceosomal RNA". Rfam says of the family: U1 is a small nuclear RNA (snRNA) component of the spliceosome (involved in pre-mRNA splicing). Its 5' end forms complementary base pairs with the 5' splice junction, thus defining the 5' donor site of an intron. There are significant differences in sequence and secondary structure between metazoan and yeast U1 snRNAs, the latter being much longer (568 nucleotides as compared to 164 nucleotides in human). The record is from Ensembl. Lineage: Eukaryota; Metazoa; Chordata; Actinopteri; Gadiformes; Gadidae.
AAAUUUAACUUUGUGCCUGACUUAAAUAAACGCCUAAAAAUUGAAAUUGGUUCACCAAGGGCGAGGCUCAGCCAUUGCACUUCGGCUGUGCUGACCCGUGCGAAUUCCUCCAAAUGUGGGAAUCUCGACCGCAUAAUUUCUGGUAGUGGGGGACUGCAUUCGCACUCUCCUCUG